AUUGAACGCUGGCGGCAGGCCUAACACAUGCAAGUCGAGCGGCAGCGGAAAGUAGCUUGCUACUUUGCCGGCGAGCGGCGGACGGGUGAGUAAUGUCUGGGAAACUGCCUGAUGGAGGGGGAUAACUACUGGAAACGGUAGCUAAUACCGCAUAAUGUCGCAAGACCAAAGAGGGGGACCUUCGGGCCUCUUGCCAUCAGAUGUGCCCAGAUGGGAUUAGCUAGUAGGUGGGGUAACGGCUCACCUAGGCGACGAUCCCUAGCUGGUCUGAGAGGAUGACCAGCCACACUGGAACUGAGACACGGUCCAGACUCCUACGGGAGGCAGCAGUGGGGAAUAUUGCACAAUGGGCGCAAGCCUGAUGCAGCCAUGCCGCGUGUAUGAAGAAGGCCUUCGGGUUGUAAAGUACUUUCAGCGGGGGGGAAGGUGCUGAGGUUAAUAACCUCAGCAAUUGACGUUACCCGCAGAAGAAGCACCGGCUAACUCCGUGCCAGCCGCCGCCGUAA
Molecule: ribosomal RNA, 506 nt
Filed under: uncultured bacterium
Lineage: Bacteria
Description: partial 16S ribosomal RNA
Rfam family: Bacterial small subunit ribosomal RNA
Source: RNAcentral